This 116-nucleotide ribosomal RNA is filed under the name Penicillium chrysogenum. Lineage: Eukaryota; Fungi; Ascomycota; Eurotiomycetes; Eurotiales; Aspergillaceae. The record is from RNAcentral.
ACGACCAUAGGGUGUGGAAAAUAGGGCUUCCCGUCCGCUCAGCCGUACUCAAGCCACACGCCGGUGAGUUAGUAGUUGGGUGGGUGACCACCAGCGAAUCCUCACUGUUGUAUGUU